Molecule: long non-coding RNA, 2662 nt
Organism: Oncorhynchus tshawytscha (Chinook salmon)
Lineage: Eukaryota; Metazoa; Chordata; Actinopteri; Salmoniformes; Salmonidae
Source: Ensembl
ACUCCACUGUAACCAGGGAAGUUCCCCACUCCACUGUAACCAGGGAAGUUCCCCACUCCACUGUAACCAGGGAAGUUCCCCACUGUAACCAGGGAAGUUCCCCACUCCACUGUAACCAGGGAAGUUCCCCACUCCACUGUAACCAGGGAAGUUCCCCACUGUAACCAGGGAAGUUCCCCACUGUAACCAGGGAAGUUCCCCACUCCACUGUAACCAGGGAAGUUCCCCACUCCACUGUAACCAGGGAAGUUCCCCACUGUAACCAGGGAAGUUCUCCACUCCACUGUAACCAGGGAAGUUCCCCACUCCACUGUAACCAGGGAAGUUCCCCACUCCACUGUAACCAGGGAAGUUCCCCAAGUUUCUCCACUCCAAAAGGAACCUUGACCUUGUUAUGGAUUUCAUAGACAUGGUAGAGCGAAAAGAAAGAAAGAGAUACUGCCUGGUGAUAAUUGACAGGUUCACCAGGUGGGUGGAAGCAUUUCCCACCACCAACUGCGAUGCGCGAAACAGUUGAAAAAUGGCUAGUCAGGGAAAUCAUACCCAGGUUCGGAGUAACUGAGGUUUUAGGUUUUAUCUGCAGACAAUGGGACCCAUCUCAUAGGAGAUGUGGUUGCCCAAGUAGCCAAAAUGAUGGGUGUUGACUAGAAGUUUGUGUCCAUCUAUCAACCGUGGAGUGACGGGAUAAGAGAGAGGGCUAAUUAAAUGAUCAAAGGGGGGCUUGCAAAAGCCUGUCAUUCCACAACAAUGAGCUGGGUGGAAUGCUGCCCCUUGUCCUCAGGAAAAUGUGCAGCAGCCUUAACAAAGGUAUGGGAUGUACACCUUAUGAAAUGUUAACAUGAUGACCCAUGAACACACCAGGUGUUCCACCUAUGACUGACCGACAGAUAGACAAAACUGAGACACAGUGUGUCCAUCUUGAGUACAUGAAGGAACUAACCUCUGUUGUAAGUUUUCUCCACCCUCACACUAGGAAAGCAUUAGAACCAAUGCCAGGUGAGGAUCCAGAUGCUCUGGCCAUCUGCGUAGGAGACUGAGUGAAAAAGACAAGUCCAUAAAAGAAAAUGGAACCAGCCAAGAUGAAUGGGACCCUUCCAGGUGACCAUGGCAACACCGAUUGCAAUCCGGGUGGCGAAGAGGUCCAGCUGGCAUCAUCUCUCCCACAGCAAGCAACUCCCAGAGUGGAAGCCAUGGAUGAGCGACUGGAGGGAGGGAGAGCAGGGCCCCGAGGACAUCUGAAGGAGGAAGAAGGUAUGAGCCAAAGGACAGAAGCAGAGGGCCCAGACCAAAUGACAGAAGCAGAAGGUCCAGACCAAAGGACAGAAGCAGAAGGUCCAGACCAAAAGGCUGGAAAGAAAGAUGAAAAAGAAGGCUCUAGAUAACGAGCAGAAGGAGGAGACGUCAUUUCACACUCAGGGUCUAUAACUAGGAAACAGAGACUAGUGUGGUGGUUUGUUUUCCCCAUAAUCCUUUCCAUGGGUCUCCUUGUUGGCGCAGCCACAGGACCCCCUGGGGGAUCUGAGGUAAACAACAAAUGGAUACAAAUGGUGAGAAAAAUUGGAAAUCAGACUAAGAAAUCAGACUACUAGGAACCCAGAUUUGAGUAUUUAGGAAGCCUACAUCAACAACUGAGCUGUUCGGGAGUCAGGUUGAGCCCAUGAGAAGGACAGAGUUUGGAUGUGGGUUUUUAUCCUUUAUGCAGAGAGGUAAUGAGAAACAACUGACUAGGCGAAUGGAGACCACAGGACUGUUCUUUGGGAAAAGAACUGAGAGGUUAGCCGGGGAUCAUGGGACACAUGUAUGUUGGGGUGGUCACAAGAAGGGAGCAAAUUGACCUAAUGUGGUAGAAGGAAGCAGGCAGAUCCCUCUAUGACCUAGAAUUCACCUCAGGAGAGGUGAGUCAGUCUUCAUGGUAAGAACUACCCACUCUGUAAGAUGUAAUUAUCCCAGCAGGCACCUGUGGAUAGAAUUGUUAGGAAAUGGAAGUUUGAUCAUCAUUCCCAUACUGACUGUGGAAAAGUGGAAAAUUACUGCUGAGCACUUAGAAAACACUGGAACUAUUGUUUUUAUUCCUGCAAGUUUGUAAAACUGUAUAUGCAUGGCCUUGGUCUCAUGAGUAGAAGGUGUUGAUGUAGGCAGUUACAUCACUAGGGGUUGACUGCAAACAUAUAAAAGCAACUUGGACUUUUCCUAUUUUGCAGAACUCAGGAGAUACAUCAGUUGUAUGUUUGAUAUUAAAAUUGUUAUGAUUUAUAAGUGCACAUUUUGAGUUCCUUAUUUGUUAAGUAACUAACGGAGACCAGAAAAGUGGAACCAACACUAACAUAAUUGCAAAAGUGUUUUCAUUUAGAGCCUUUUAAAAUUAUGAACAUGGAUUAGCUAACACAACGUGCCAUUGGAACACAGGAGUGAUGGCUGCUGAUAAUGGGCCUCUGUACUCCUAUGUAGAUAUUCCAUAUAAAAUCAGCCGUUUCCAGCAACAAUAGUCAUUUACAACAUUAACAAUGUCUACACUGUAUUUCUGAUCAAUUUUAUGUUAUUUUAAUGGACAAAAAAAAUUUGAUUUUCUUUCAAAAACAAGGACAUUUCUAAGUGACCCCAAACUUUUGAACGGUAGUGUAUAUCACUGACUUCCAUGUGCACAAACACACAUACAUACAUA